GGAACUGAGACUGAGAAACCAGGCUUGUCCAGGAACACACAGGGAGACAAGUUUUCACCCAGGAUGCCAGACCCUGGGGACCUCAUUUCCUAAUGCCUGAGUCCUAGUGAACCCCAAGACCCCCGGUCUGUUGGGCUUGGUGUUUGUUGAGCACCUACUAUGUGCCGGGCAUGAGGCUAAAGAUACAGCAAAGAACAAGAUAGACAAGGUCCCUGUCCUUAUAGAGCUGAUAUUCUGGUGUGGAGGGACAAAAAGCUCAAGAAAGCAAGAGGUAAACAAGGUUCUCUCAGAAAACAUGAAGUGCUGUGAAGAGAACCCGAGUGUCAGGACAGUCAGUCCUGCAGAGCAGGAUGGAAUGCACUGCCCGGUGGACGGAAAGCAGCUCCUGUGCCCAGCCCUCCAAUCCCUGCUACUGGCCCCACCUCUUGGACCUGUGGCUUCAGCGUGGCCUCCUGGGGCAGGUGUUCUAUGGCCUUCUCUGUAGGCCAGAGCUUUCCCCAUCACCACGCUGCCUCCUGCCCAGACUUCCCGCCUUAGGAAGAACCAGCCAGAAUGCUCCAGGUGCCUCCCAUCCAGCCCUGCCCCCCGCAGCACCUGGCGCUCCUCUCCCACCACUGGCCACAGGCUGGGGGCCAAGGGCCAGGCUCACAGAGGCUGUGGCCUGUGUAUAGGGAAAAGCAGAGACAGAGCCCCUACUCUGCCCAGCCCAGAAGAGACCUGGGUAGGGGCAGCCUUGGCCACCCUGCCAAGGAAGGUGACCUGGUAGCCCCUCAGUAUUUUCAACACCAGAGCUGUUUCUCAAGGGAAAUCCAAAUAGAAUCGCAGUGUGUAAAACAAAUGAAA
This is a non-coding RNA of Marmota flaviventris (yellow-bellied marmot), 843 nucleotides long. NCBI's taxonomy places the organism in Eukaryota, Metazoa, Chordata, Mammalia, Rodentia, Sciuridae. The record is from RefSeq and is a predicted model, not a curated record.